Molecule: small RNA, 129 nt
Filed under: Candidatus Pantoea formicae
Lineage: Bacteria; Pseudomonadati; Pseudomonadota; Gammaproteobacteria; Enterobacterales; Erwiniaceae
Also listed under: 1 other name
Description: RtT sRNA
Rfam family: RtT RNA
About the family: This family represents a bacterial cis-regulatory element known as RtT RNA. The exact function of RtT is unknown although it is thought that it may be involved in changing the cellular response in relation to amino acid starvation.
Source: RNAcentral
UCAUAUUGCACAAUGAGAAGGAUGAGAAGCUUCGACCGAAGGUUCGAGUCGAACGCAGUGAGACAACGCGCUUCAGCGCGGCCCGCAAGGCGAGACGCUUUGCGUCGAGUCAUCCUUCUCCCGCCACCA